Molecule: ribosomal RNA, 253 nt
Filed under: uncultured bacterium
Lineage: Bacteria
Description: partial 16S ribosomal RNA
Rfam family: Bacterial small subunit ribosomal RNA
Source: RNAcentral
UACGUAGGGUGCGAGCGUUGCCCGGAUUUAUUGGGCGUAAAGGGCGCGUAGGCGGCUACGCACGUCCGUUGUGAAAUCGCUCGGCUCAACUGGGCGGGGUCAGCGGAUACGGCGUAGCUGGAGCAAGCUAGGGGGCAAUGGAAUUCCCGGUGUAGUGGUGGAAUGCGUAGAUAUCAGGAGGAACACCGGUGGUGUAGACGGCUCACUGGACCAUAACUGACGCUGAGACACGAAAGCGUGGGUAGCAAACAGG